GUCCACGCCGUAAACGAUGUCAACUAGUUGUUCGUCUCAUAAACGAGGUGAGUAACGCAGCUAACGCACUAAGUUGACCGCCUGGGAGUACGGCCGCAAGGUUAAACUCAAAUGAAUUGACGGGGCCCGCACAAGCGGUGGAGCAUGUGGUUUAAUUCGAUGCAACGCGAAGAACCUUACCAUCCCUUGACAUCCAGUGAAUCUUUUAGAGAUAGAAGAGUGCCUUCGGGAACACUGAGACAGGUGCUGCAUGGCUGUCGU
RNAcentral lists this ribosomal RNA (261 nucleotides) under uncultured bacterium. RNAcentral's name for it is "partial 16S ribosomal RNA". It matches the Rfam family "Bacterial small subunit ribosomal RNA", at positions 793 to 1055 of the family's 1533-position model. The record is from RNAcentral.